GACGAACGCUGGCGGCGUGCCUAAUACAUGCAAGUAGAACGCACAGUUUAUACCGUAGCUUGCUACACCAUAGACUGUGAGUUGCGAACGGGUGAGUAACGCGUAGGUAACCUGCCUGGUAGCGGGGGAUAACUAUUGGAAACGAUAGCUAAUACCGCAUAAUAUUAAUUAUUGCAUGAUAAUUAAUUGAAAGGUGCAAUUGCACCACUGCCAGAUGGACCUGCGUUGUAUUAGCUAGUAGGUGAGGUAACGGCUCACCUAGGCGACGAUACAUAGCCGACCUGAGAGGGGGAUCGGCCACACUGGGACUGAGACACGGCCCAGACUCCUACGGGAGGCAGCAGUAGGGAAUCUUCGGCAAUGGACGAAAGUCUGACCGAGCAACGCCGCGGGAGUGAAGAAGGUUUUCGGAUCGUAAAGCUCGGUUGUAAGAGAAGAACGGGUGUGAGAGUGGAAAGUUCACACUGUGACGGUAUCUUACCAGAAAGGGACGGCUAACUACGUG
Molecule: ribosomal RNA, 505 nt
Filed under: uncultured bacterium
Lineage: Bacteria
Description: partial 16S ribosomal RNA
Rfam family: Bacterial small subunit ribosomal RNA
Source: RNAcentral